Octopus sinensis (East Asian common octopus) is the source of this 398-nucleotide long non-coding RNA. RefSeq lists it as uncharacterized. The record is from RefSeq and is a predicted model, not a curated record. The transcript has 3 exons. NCBI's taxonomy places the organism in Eukaryota, Metazoa, Mollusca, Cephalopoda, Octopoda, Octopodidae.
ACUGUAGAAAUGAUUGAAAUAGUUGAUAUUCGGUGCUCAAAUAUCUACCCAGUUACAUUAGCAUGUUGUGACAGGCUUACAAUGCGUACUGAGUUCUUGCCAAAUCUACAAUUUCUGCUUCAUCCUUCUCACCUAUCAUGACAACUAGGUUUCUCCUCCACUUGCUAUUAACAUCUGUUACUCCUUAUUGACCAAUUCCCAUUCUUGUUGAUAACCAUCUCACUCGCCUUACAUAACUUUUAACAUCAUCCUAUCAUUCCUCAAUUACUCUCUAUCUAGUGUAUUAUUCUGCUGCUGUAAGAAAUGUUACUAAGUAUCACUACAUAUAUUGCCAUUUCUAUAUUCUGUGUUAAAGACUACACAAAUCAAGCUCAAUAUAACCACUUUGUAGUACAGUU